RNAcentral lists this ribosomal RNA (303 nucleotides) under uncultured eukaryote. RNAcentral's name for it is "partial 18S ribosomal RNA". It matches the Rfam family "Eukaryotic small subunit ribosomal RNA", at positions 592 to 975 of the family's 1831-position model. The record is from RNAcentral.
CAAUAGCGUAUAUUAAAGUUGUUGCAGUUAAAAAGCUCGUAGUUGGAUUUCAAGAAACGCAUCCAGAAAUGGAUUGCUUUCUACCAGUCUUUGACUGUUACUGUGAGAAAAUUAGAGUGUUUCAAGCAGGCUUUGCAGGAAUACAUUAGCAUGGAAUAACGCGUGUGUCUACAAUUUGGUUGAUUGUAGAUUACGAUUAAUAGGGACAGUUGGGGGCAUUAGUAUUUAAUAGUCAGAGGUGAAAUUCUUGGAUUUGUUAAAGACUAACGUAUGCGAAAGCAUUUGCCAAGGAUGUUUNCAUUA